CGAACGGCUCCGUAUAUCUGUUAUAACUCUCCGCGCCCUAAGAAAGGUUGGUAAGCGCAUAUGGUUCGGUAAUUCUGUCAGUAAUACGUGUACCCGCAAGGCGCCCUGGCACUUGGUUCCUUUAGAGAUCGGUGCGUUAACAGGGCGGGCUCCAGAACUACCACUCGACUCCGGUCGUUUGGGAAAAAGCUGGAGUGUUCCUCACCAGGCACGGGGGGAGCCGGGAGAUUUCAGACCUAUCAACUAGAGAACCUUGCAGUGUAUGGUUUUGGUUUUAACGGGUACAGAGGAUCAGGGUUCGAUCCUGGAGAGGUAGCCUGAGAGAUCGCUACUACUUCUAAGGAAGGCAGCAGGCGCGCAACGUUCCCAAUGGGGGGGUUAAAGGUUCCCUGAGGACGUGACGGAAUAUAUCGAUGCCCCGGCCUUUAGGUUGCGGGCAAUCGAAAUGGGGGGAUUUUAAAUCCUACUACCGAGUAACAAUUGGAGGACAAGUCUG
RNAcentral lists this ribosomal RNA (496 nucleotides) under uncultured Arcyria. Its description in RNAcentral is "bacterial SSU rRNA". It matches the Rfam family "Eukaryotic small subunit ribosomal RNA", at positions 90 to 563 of the family's 1831-position model. The record is from RNAcentral. Lineage: Eukaryota; Evosea; Eumycetozoa; Trichiida.